AAUGAAAUAUAGGUAAUCCCAUGUUAAUCUCGAAAAUAUGUAGGAUGUUAAAGUAAGAUAAAUCAUAACCGAAUCUUUUUUUUCCCCAAUAAAAAAGGAAUCUUACAUGCCAUUAAGAUUUAAUUAAUAUAAAUGGGAUUAUGGGACAAGAAAAAUGACAUACGAAUACGAUCACUAACUUUCUUUAUACAAAAUAACAGGUAGACAUUGCAUGUCUAACAACAACUUUCCCCUGUAUUAUAUUCUUGAUAAGAAUCUAUUGGGCAGCAACAAAAGAAAUGGAAGAUUACCAAAACCACCGCUAGGGAGAUCUAUAUUAAUUAUGAAUAAUUGCUAUGAAUGCCCUUUCAACACUACCCUUUUAUGUUGUCCAUUUUUAAUAAUAUACCUUCCCUUGAACAGAAUGACCAAAUUACCCUCAUAUAAUAGGAACAUGUAAUUGGAAACUGAAAUUUUCCCGCCAAAUUUUGGAUACCAAAAUUUAUUUUUCCCGCCAAAAAAAAAUUUCCGCCAAACAUUUUUCCGGUAAAUUUCCGACAAAUUUUUUGUAUUUCAAAAAGCUUAUUUUCUGCACUAUGUUUUUACUUUUUAGUUAAAAACAGAGAAUAAUAAAUAAUACUA
This 621-nucleotide small RNA is filed under the name Arabidopsis thaliana (thale cress). Its description in RNAcentral is "ATSL154780". The record is from RNAcentral. Lineage: Eukaryota; Viridiplantae; Streptophyta; Magnoliopsida; Brassicales; Brassicaceae.